GACGAACGCUGGCGGCGUGCUUAACACAUGCAAGUCGAACGGAAAGGCCCCUUUUGGGGUCCUCGAGUGGCGAACGGCGGGGUAACACGUGAGUAAGCUGCCCUUGACUUCGGGAUACCUUUACUAAACCGGAGUUAGUACCUGGUAGGAAUCCUUGCUCCCUGGUGGGGGUUGGAAAGCUUCGGCGGUUUUGGUUGGACUCGCGGCUUAUCCGCUUGGUGGUGGGGUAGUGGCUUACCAUCGCUUUGACGGGUAGCCGGACUGGGAGGGCGAGCGGCCUCAGUGGGACUGGGACACGGCCCCGGCCCCUACGGGAGGGGGAAGUGGGGAUGAUUGAUCAUGGGGCAGAAGCCUGAUGCAGCAACACCGCGGGCGGGAGGACGGUCAUCGGGUUGGAAUCCGAAUUCAGUAGGGGCGGAGCUUGUAGUGACGGUACCUGCAGAAGAAGCACCGGCUAACUACGUG
RNAcentral lists this ribosomal RNA (465 nucleotides) under uncultured bacterium. RNAcentral's name for it is "partial 16S ribosomal RNA". It matches the Rfam family "Bacterial small subunit ribosomal RNA", at positions 28 to 507 of the family's 1533-position model. The record is from RNAcentral.